CCNACGGGAGGNAGCAGUNAGGAAUAUUGCACAACUGGGCGCAAGCCCUGAUGCAGCGACGCCGCGUGAGGGAUGACNGCCUUNNGGUUGUAAACCUNUUUCACCCAUGAAGAAGCGCAAGUGACGGUAGUGGGAGAAGAAGCACCGGCCAACUACGUGNCAGCAGCCGCGGUAAUA
Molecule: ribosomal RNA, 177 nt
Filed under: uncultured bacterium
Lineage: Bacteria
Description: partial 16S ribosomal RNA
Rfam family: Bacterial small subunit ribosomal RNA
Source: RNAcentral